AAACUGUCAGGCCACUUUAAGCCACAGUACGGAAGAAGCUGUGCAGCCUGUGAGCCCCGUCCAAGGACGUUAAAAGAAGAAGUCAGGCCCAAAAGCCACGGUUUGAGCAAACCGUGCUGCCUGUAGCUCCGUCGUGGGGACGUAAAACCUGGGAGGCUGCAAACUGUGGAAGCUGUACGCACGGUGUAGCAGACUAGCGGUUAGAGGAGACCCCUCCCAUGACACAACGCAGCAGCGGGGCCCGAGCACUGAGGGAAGCUGUACCUCCUUGCAAAGGACUAGAGGUUAGAGGAGACCCCCCGCAAACAAAAACAGCAUAUUGACGCUGGGAGAG
RNAcentral lists this long non-coding RNA (334 nucleotides) under dengue virus type 3. Its description in RNAcentral is "Dengue virus 3 partial sfRNA1". The stretch from base 236 to 308 matches the Rfam family "Flavivirus DB element". The record is from RNAcentral. Lineage: Riboviria; Orthornavirae; Kitrinoviricota; Flasuviricetes; Amarillovirales; Flaviviridae.